This 468-nucleotide ribosomal RNA is filed under the name uncultured bacterium. Its description in RNAcentral is "partial 16S ribosomal RNA". It matches the Rfam family "Bacterial small subunit ribosomal RNA", at positions 28 to 507 of the family's 1533-position model. The record is from RNAcentral.
GACGAACGCUGGCGGCGUGCUUAACACAUGCAAGUCGAACGGAAAGGCCCUGCUUUUGUGGGGUGCUCGAGUGGCGAACGGGUGAGUAACACGUGAGUAACCUGCCCUUGACUUUGGGAUAACUUCAGGAAACUGGGGCUAAUACCGGAUAGGAGCUCCUGCUGCAUGGGGGGGGUUGGAAAGUUUCGGCGGUUGGGGAUGGACUCGCGGCUUAUCAGCUUGUUGGUGGGGUAGUGGCUUACCAAGGCUUUGACGGGUAGCCGGCCUGAGAGGGUGACCGGCCACAUUGGGCCUGAGAUACGGCCCAGACUCCUACGGGAGGCAGCAGUGGGGAAUAUUGCACAAUGGGCGGAAGCCUGAUGCAGCAACGCCGCGUGCGGGAUGACGGCCUUCGGGUUGUAAACCGCUUUCGCCUGUGACGAAGCGUGGGUGACGGUAAUGGGUAAAGAAGCACCGGCUAACUACGUG